RNAcentral lists this ribosomal RNA (256 nucleotides) under uncultured bacterium. Its description in RNAcentral is "partial 16S ribosomal RNA". It matches the Rfam family "Bacterial small subunit ribosomal RNA", at positions 521 to 776 of the family's 1533-position model. The record is from RNAcentral.
UAAUACGUAGGGUGCGAGCGUUAAUCGGAAUUACUGGGCGUAAAGCGUGCGCAGGCGGUUUGUUAAGUCUGAUGUGAAAGCCCCGGGCUCAACCUGGGAAUGGCAUUGGAAACUGGCAAGCUCGAGUGCGGCAGAGGGGGGUGGAAUUCCGCGUGUAGCAGUGAAAUGCGUAGAGAUGCGGAGGAACACCGAUGGCGAAGGCAGCCCCCUGGGCCGACACUGACGCUCAGGCACGAAAGCGUGGGGAGCAAACAGG